This 158-nucleotide long non-coding RNA is filed under the name Haliotis rubra (blacklip abalone). RNAcentral's name for it is "uncharacterized LOC124254356, transcript variant X2". Lineage: Eukaryota; Metazoa; Mollusca; Gastropoda; Lepetellida; Haliotidae. The record is from RNAcentral.
CUGACUGAUCUGGAAUUUAAAGUUGUAUCACUGAUUCCACAGUGCCAAAUUGAAGGGAUAACUGGUGGAUUGGAGUCUGAGGUUGAUGAAAUUUUUCAAACACUGAACAUGGUCAGUGAGAGUGGCCUUCCCACAGAAGAGUACUUUGAUUCUGCCUU